AACGCGAAGAACCUUACCUACUCUUGACAUCCAGAGAACUUAGCAGAGAUGCUUUGGUGCCUUCGGGAACUCUGAGACAGGUGCUGCAUGGCUGUCGUCAGCUCGUGUUGUGAAAUGUUGGGUUAAGUCCCGCAACGAGCGCAACCCUUAUCCUUUGUUGCCAGCGAUUCGGUCGGGAACUCAAAGGAGACUGCCAGUGAUAAACUGGAGGAAGGUGGGGAUGACGUCAAGUCAUCAUGGCCCUUACGAGUAGGGCUACACACGUGCUACAAUGGCAUAUACAAAGAGAAGCGACCUCGCGAGAGCAAGCGGACCUCAUAAAGUAUGUCGUAGUCCGGAUUGGAGUCUGCAACUCGACUCCAUGAAGUCGGAAUCGCUAGUAAUCGUGGAUCAGAAUGCCACGGUGAAUACGUUCCCGGGUCUUGUACACACCG
RNAcentral lists this ribosomal RNA (434 nucleotides) under uncultured bacterium. RNAcentral describes it as "bacterial SSU rRNA". It matches the Rfam family "Bacterial small subunit ribosomal RNA", at positions 958 to 1392 of the family's 1533-position model. The record is from RNAcentral. RNAcentral also lists the same sequence under 1 other name.